CUGCCAUGGCCUACUGCUGGCAGGAAGGGAAGGAUCAAAUCAUAUUUGUGACCAAAGAAGACCAUGAAACUCCAAGCAAUGCAGAGCUGGUGGCUGACGAUCCCAAUGAUCCAUACAAGGAGCACGGGUUGAUCCUGCCAAAUGGAGACAUUAACUGGUACUGCCCGUGCCUUGGGGUAAUGGCUAGUGGCCCCUGUGGGGAACAGUUCAAGUCAGCCUGUUCCUGCUUCCACUAUAGCACGGAGGAUCUCAAAGGAUCAGACUGUGUAGACCAGUUCUGGCCCAUGCAGGAAUGCAUGCAGAAGUACCUGGACCUCUAUCCCCAAGAUAAGGAGGGGGAGGAGAGGAGGAGGAGGAGGGGGAGGGGGGAGGGGAGGGGGAGGGGGCAGGAGGAGGACAAGGAGGAAGAGGAGGAGGAGAAGGAGAAGCCAGCAAAACGUUUAGAAAAGGCAGCUCUAGCUAAGGCCACCGCAACCAAAGAAUAG
RNA transcript from Myotis lucifugus (little brown bat), 485 nucleotides. It is a transcript of the gene named mitochondrial intermembrane space import and assembly protein 40 pseudogene, with no coding region annotated. The record is from RefSeq and is a predicted model, not a curated record. The transcript has a single exon. NCBI's taxonomy places the organism in Eukaryota, Metazoa, Chordata, Mammalia, Chiroptera, Vespertilionidae.